GUGCCAGCCGCCGCGGUAAUACGUAGGGUGCGAGCGUUAAUCGGAAUUACUGGGCGUAAAGCGUGCGCAGGCGGUUUUGAAAGUCAGAUGUGAAAUCCCCGGGCUCAACCUGGGAACUGCGUUUGAAACUCCAAAGCUAGAGUAUGGGAGAGGGAGGUAGAAUUCCACGUGUAGCAGUGAAAUGCGUAGAGAUGUGGAGGAAUACCGAUGGCGAAGGCAGCCUCCUGGCCCAAUACUGACGCUCAUGCACGAAAGCGUGGGGAGCAAACAGGAUUAGAAACCCUCGUAGUCC
Molecule: ribosomal RNA, 292 nt
Filed under: uncultured bacterium
Lineage: Bacteria
Description: partial 16S ribosomal RNA
Rfam family: Bacterial small subunit ribosomal RNA
Source: RNAcentral